GUGUCAGCAGCCGCGGUAACACGGGGGGAGCAAGCGUUGUUCGGAUUCAUUGGGCGUAAAGGGCUCGUAGGCCGCUCUGUAAGUCGGAAGUGAAAGACCACGGCUCAACCGUGGAACCGCUUUCGAAACUGCGGAGCUUGAGGCCGGGAGAGGAGAUUGGAAUUCCUGGUGUAGCGGUGAAAUGCGUAGAUAUCAGGAGGAACACCCGUGGCGAAGGCGAAUCUCUGGACCGGUUCUGACGCUGAUGAGCGAAAGCUAGGGGAGCAAACAGGAUUAGAAACCCCAGUAGUCC
Molecule: ribosomal RNA, 292 nt
Filed under: uncultured bacterium
Lineage: Bacteria
Description: partial 16S ribosomal RNA
Rfam family: Bacterial small subunit ribosomal RNA
Source: RNAcentral